Long non-coding RNA from Astatotilapia calliptera (eastern happy), 520 nucleotides. The record is from Ensembl. Lineage: Eukaryota; Metazoa; Chordata; Actinopteri; Cichliformes; Cichlidae.
ACCAGAUCUCCUCCCACAAACAGCACAACACCAACUCCCUCUGUCGACAAACAUCAGCCUCAGUUUGACGAACACGUGUCGCCAUUUUGUCACCGCUCCACAGAACGUCACCUCAGGUCACAGCCGGACAUCAAUGUUUCUUCGCCACGUUCCACCCACCGAAACGCUGCUGCAGACCGAGUGGAACAGCGUCCUCCACUGAACCCAGCACACUUCAAAGAAACUGACCUGAUGGCGUUCACCCGACUCUCAAACUCACAGAUCCCAGUCUGAUCUGAUGGAUCAAGGUCAGAUCAUCUGAAGCCCACUGUGUAAACUCCAGGACCCAAAGGAUCAAAUGCCAACGUCCAAACACUGCAUGACACCCUCCACAGGUCCUGUUUCCAUCCUCGAUGGUUCACAGCUGGACCGUGUUAGGAUCUGUUAGGAUGUGAGGAUCCUAACAUGGAGGAUUUAAACUUCAAGUCACCAAGUGUGUGCUACACCAUUUUCAGUCUUUAAAGUAUUUUCUACCAUGAUA